Long non-coding RNA from Scylla paramamosain (green mud crab), 1026 nucleotides. RefSeq lists it as uncharacterized. The transcript has 3 exons. NCBI's taxonomy places the organism in Eukaryota, Metazoa, Arthropoda, Malacostraca, Decapoda, Portunidae. The record is from RefSeq and is a predicted model, not a curated record.
AUGUAAGAAUGCAAGUAAACGGUAGUGGAAAGGAAAACAUCGAGGGUACACUUUUUAAGAGUCUGAAAGGCUGGAGCAAUUAAGCAGGCGCAUCGAGGAACUUGUCACAGUGUUUCUCCAGCAGUGUGUGUGUGUGUGUGUGUGUGUGUGUGAAACUCGAAAAUAUGGAUUUUCGUCUUGUUUAACCAAAACUAAGAACUCUUUCAAGGUCUGGUGAACUAUUGGGACGUGGCGUUUUAAGUCAUAGAAAUAGGAAGAAAAGAUAGUGGUUACGCAAUCCACCUAUGACAGAUCGCGGGUGCUGCAGGUUGGGUUGCCACUCAGUCAGAACUAAGAAAACGUUUUCAAUAAUGGAAAUUUCACUCGAGCUUAAGAAUGAGGGAAAGCCAGUUGCCAAGUCUGAGAAUGUGAACUGAAGCGUUGUCUCCCUUGACCGCUAUUGCUACGUAAACGGGAUAGAUUUUAUCCUCCAGCAAACCAGUAAACAAGAGUAUGCGAUGGUUUGCCCGUAGUUUCCUCACUACAAUGAUGCUUCCGUGCGAGGAACCUCUAGAAUCCUUGUCCCCGUGCGUCCCCGCCACUCGCCUUCCAAACUUGUGUGCUGGAACAGGAUAUAGGGAUACUGUUUGCCCGUCAGGUACUGCCCUAUGGCUUGAACUGGCCUGUAGGAAGUGUCGCAGAGAUGAAAAAGUUUAUCAAGAGGUAUCGUACUUUCAACAUAACGAGAUCUUCAAGAAGUGGGUAAUCUAGUAACCCUUCCCCUCGUCUGGCCACAGCACAGAAGGCGAGCACCACCAGCAGCUACCUCCUAUUGACUCACGGGGGAACUUGGCCUCGCCACAUGAUGUGGCAGGACGAGACGCGAAGGUUGUGACGUAGAGCUGUCACGCGUAACACACAGGGCGAGGACAAGGCGGGAAAGAGGGACCAGAAUUAUUUAAGAGUUUGUAGUACAAGAAAUAAUUAAAAAGAUGUAGGUGAUCACUGGGGGAAAAAUCGUGCACCAGUGAAAUAGUUAAAAGGACA